UACGUAGGAUGCGAGCGUUGUCCGGAAUUACUGGGCGUAAAGCGCGCGUAGGCGGCGCCACGCGUCGGCGGUGAAAGCCCCCGGCUCACCUGGGGGAGGGCCGCCGAAACGGUGGGGCUUAGGAGGGCGGUAGGGGCAGACGGAACGCCCGGAGUAGCGGUGAAAUGCGUUGAGAUCGGGCAGAACACCAGUGGCGAAGGCGGUCUGCUGGGCCGACCCUGACGCUGAGGCGCGAAAGCCAGGGG
RNAcentral lists this ribosomal RNA (245 nucleotides) under uncultured bacterium. Its description in RNAcentral is "partial 16S ribosomal RNA". It matches the Rfam family "Bacterial small subunit ribosomal RNA", at positions 524 to 766 of the family's 1533-position model. The record is from RNAcentral.